CAAGCUUCACUGACUGAGCCAGCUAAGUGCCCCUCCUUUUUUCUUCUGAUUAUAUAUUGUAUGCUUAAUUUAAGGGUAUAGUUCUUAAGGACAAUGCUAGGUACAUAUAGUAGGUGCUAAAUAAACUCUUGUUGAACUAAAUAAGAAUAACUGACAUGCUGAAAUUAUAAACAAUUUUUUUAGGUUAUUGGAUUAUAAACUACUAGUAAUAGCUAGCAACUCAUGGGGUCUAAAGAUUUUUAAGUAAAUUGCCUCAAUCAAUGAUACUAUGAGGUGACAAAUAUCUUGACCUAUACAAAGAAAUACUUUUUCAAAAAGAGAAAUGCAGCAAUUGAACUUACUUUAUUAUGGAAAAGUAUACCUUCUGCCAUGAAAUAAAAGAAUUGUACUAUACCUUUUCCUUCCCAGGCAUCAAAGGCAUCCAUCAUUUUCUUCAGUUCGGCUACUGAAUAAUAGCUCCAAAUGUACUGAACAUUAUUUCCCGCCUCUCUAGAAAUAUUGCAAAAGUUGCAGAACCCAUACAACCAUGCAGAUUCCUGAAGGUGAUCUGGAACCGAAUCAACGGUCUCUUCAUGUUACUGUCCUAAUAACCAUACUGACAGCUCACUCUCCUAAAGUGAUAUCCAAAUCAAACCAAUUCAGGAAAAUAUAUUCUGAGCUCCUUGGGGGAUUUUAGAUGCAUAUACCCACUAUGGACUCAAAGGUCAUGGAGACCGACUGCUGCUGAAACGAGCAGCCCCACAACGAUCCAUGUGAGAGAAACACCUCUGAAGCACAGAUGGAACCAGUUCAUGCUGCCCCAGUUACCAGCUCCCUGGAAUCCACCUAUUCUUCAAAGCUACAGGCAAAUCUCACAAGUUGCAUGACCUUCCCUAGCACCUCCCAGUUAGAAUCUGUGCACAGUCGACCAAAUAUACUUUGUAACUCUC
Molecule: long non-coding RNA, 929 nt
Organism: Suricata suricatta (meerkat)
Lineage: Eukaryota; Metazoa; Chordata; Mammalia; Carnivora; Herpestidae
Exons: 4
Source: RefSeq, a predicted model, not a curated record